UACGGAGGGUGCAAACGUUGCUCGGAAUCAUUGGGCGUAAAGCGCACGUAGGCGGUCCGUUAUGUCGGGUGUGAAAGCCCUCGGCUUAACCGAGGAAGUGCAUUCGAAACUGGCGGACUUGAGUACCGGAGAGGGUCGCGGAAUUCCCGGUGUAGAGGUGAAAUUCGUAGAUAUCGGGAGGGACACCAGUGGCGAAGGCGGCGACCUGGACGGAUACUGACGCUGAGGUGCGAAAGCGUGGGGAGCAAACAGG
This 253-nucleotide ribosomal RNA is filed under the name uncultured bacterium. RNAcentral's name for it is "partial 16S ribosomal RNA". It matches the Rfam family "Bacterial small subunit ribosomal RNA", at positions 524 to 776 of the family's 1533-position model. The record is from RNAcentral.